Molecule: ribosomal RNA, 378 nt
Filed under: uncultured bacterium
Lineage: Bacteria
Description: bacterial SSU rRNA
Rfam family: Bacterial small subunit ribosomal RNA
Source: RNAcentral
GACGAACGCUGGCGGCGUGCUUAACACAUGCAAGUCGAGCGGUAAGGCCCUUUCGGGGGUACACGAGCGGCGAACGGGUGAGUAACACGUGGGUGACCUGCCCUCAGCUCUGGGAUAAGCCUGGGAAACCGGGUCUAAUACCGGAUAUGACUCCAUGACGCAUGUUGUGGGGUGGAAAGCCUUGUGCGGCUGAGGAUGGGCCCGCGGCCUAUCAGCUUGUUGGUGGGGCGAUGGCCUACCAAGGCGACGACGGGUAGCCGGCCUGAGAGGGCGACCGGCCACACUGGGACUGCGACACGGGCCAGACUCCUACGGGAGGCAGCAGUAAGGAAUAUUGCGCAAUGGGCGAAAGCCUGACGCAGCGACGCCGCGUGGGGA